AAAUCAUCCCCUAAGUUUUGCAACUGUGGCAAUUUUGACCCCAAGGCCAAUUUUUGGUAAAAAGAAAUAAAAAAAUUAACACGUAGCACCUCACUUAGGGUGCCGCGUUAGCGUAGACCGAGUCAAAAUUGGCCUUGGGGGCCAAAACUGCCAUAGAUGUAAAAUUUAGGGGGCGAUUU
RNAcentral lists this microRNA precursor (179 nucleotides) under Medicago truncatula (barrel medic). Its description in RNAcentral is "MIR2619 microRNA precursor family". It matches the Rfam family "MIR2619 microRNA precursor family". The record is from Rfam by way of RNAcentral. Lineage: Eukaryota; Viridiplantae; Streptophyta; Magnoliopsida; Fabales; Fabaceae.